This 496-nucleotide ribosomal RNA is filed under the name uncultured bacterium. Its description in RNAcentral is "partial 16S ribosomal RNA". It matches the Rfam family "Bacterial small subunit ribosomal RNA", at positions 28 to 506 of the family's 1533-position model. The record is from RNAcentral.
GAUGAACGCUGGCGGCGUGCCUAAUACAUGCAAGUCGAGCGAACGGACGAGAAGCUUGCUUCUCUGAUGUUAGCGGCGGACGGGUGAGUAACACGUGGAUAACCUACCUAUAAGACUGGGAUAACUUCGGGAAACCGGAGCUAAUACCGGAUAAUAUUUUGAACCGCAUGGUUCAAAAGUAAAAGACGGUCUUGCUGUCACUUAUAGAUGGAUCCGCGCUGCAUUAGCUAGUUGGUAAGGUAAAGGCUUACCAAGGCAACGUUGCAUAGCGGACCUGAGAGGGGGAUCGGCAAAACUGGAACUAGGACACGGUCCAGACUCUUACGGGAGGCAGCAGUAGGGAAUCUUCCGCAAGGGGCGAAAGCCUGACGGAGCAACGCGGCGGGAGUGAUGAAGGUCUUCGGAUCGUAAAACUCUGUUAUCAGGGAAGAACAGAUGUGUAAGUAACUGGGCACAUCUUGACGGUACCUAAUCAGAAAGCCACGGCUAACUACGU